Molecule: ribosomal RNA, 424 nt
Filed under: uncultured bacterium
Lineage: Bacteria
Description: partial 16S ribosomal RNA
Rfam family: Bacterial small subunit ribosomal RNA
Source: RNAcentral
AAUUUUGGAGAAUGGGGGAAACCCUGAUCCAGCCAUCCCGCGUGUAUGAUGAAGGCCUNCGGGUUNUNAAGUACUUUUGGCAGGGNAGAAAAGGUAUCCCCUAAUACGGGAUACUGCAGACGGUAGCUGCAGAAUAAGCACGGGCUAACUACGUCCCAGCAGCCGCGGUAAUACGUAGGGUGCAAGCGUUAAUCGGAAUUACUGGGCGUAAGGCGUGUGUAGGCGGUUCGGAAAGAAAUGUGUUAAAUCCCCGGGCUCCACCUUGGAACUGCAUUUUUAACUGCCGAGCUAGAGUAUGUCAGAGGGGGGUAGAAUUCCACGUGUAGCAGUGAAAUGCGUAGAUAUGUGGAGGAAUACCGAUGGCGAAGGCAGCCCCCUGGGAUAAUACUGACGCUCAGACACGAAAGCGUGGGGAGCAAACAGG